UCUGGCCCUAUGGAAGACUAGUGAUUUUGUUGUUGUGAAAUGUCAAAGAACUAACAAAAAAUCACUGUCGGCCACUGGGGACAGGGGUGCA
Molecule: microRNA precursor, 91 nt
Filed under: Lytechinus variegatus (green sea urchin)
Lineage: Eukaryota; Metazoa; Echinodermata; Echinoidea; Temnopleuroida; Toxopneustidae
Description: microRNA lva-mir-7 precursor
Gene: lva-mir-7
Rfam family: mir-7 microRNA precursor family
About the family: This family represents the microRNA (miRNA) precursor mir-7. In this case the mature sequence comes from the 5' arm of the precursor.
Source: miRBase by way of RNAcentral